RNAcentral lists this non-coding RNA (24 nucleotides) under Mus musculus (house mouse). Lineage: Eukaryota; Metazoa; Chordata; Mammalia; Rodentia; Muridae. The record is from RNAcentral.
UUGCUUGCAGACCAAACCAGGGAC